This 22-nucleotide non-coding RNA is filed under the name Arabidopsis thaliana (thale cress). The record is from RNAcentral. Lineage: Eukaryota; Viridiplantae; Streptophyta; Magnoliopsida; Brassicales; Brassicaceae.
UUUGGAAUUUUCGUGUUGGUUC